Molecule: ribosomal RNA, 275 nt
Filed under: uncultured Allobrachymonas sp.
Lineage: Bacteria; Pseudomonadati; Pseudomonadota; Betaproteobacteria; Burkholderiales; Comamonadaceae
Description: uncultured Brachymonas sp. partial 16S ribosomal RNA
Rfam family: Bacterial small subunit ribosomal RNA
Source: RNAcentral
CCUACGGGGGGCUGCAGUGGGGAAUUUUGGACAAUGGGCGCAAGCCUGAUCCAGCAAUGCCGCGUGCAGGACGAAGGCCUUCGGGUUGUAAACUGCUUUUGUACAGAACGAAAUGUCUCUGGUUAAUACCUGGGGAAGAUGACGGUACUGUAAGAAUAAGCACCGGCUAACUACGUGCCAGCAGCCGCGGUAAUACGUAGGGUGCAAGCGUUAAUCGGAAUUACUGGGCGUAAAGCGUGCGCAGGCGGUUUUGUAAGACAGAGGUGAAAUCCCCG